Molecule: ribosomal RNA, 492 nt
Filed under: uncultured bacterium
Lineage: Bacteria
Description: partial 16S ribosomal RNA
Rfam family: Bacterial small subunit ribosomal RNA
Source: RNAcentral
GAUGAACGCUAGCUACAGGCUUAACACAUGCAAGUCGAGGGGAAACGACAUCGAAAGCUUGCUUUUGAUGGGCGUCGACCGGCGCACGGGUGAGUAACGCGUAUCCAACCUGCCCAUCACUUGGGAAUAACCUUGCGAAAGUAAGACUAAUACCCAAUGAUAUCCCACGAAGGCAUCGGAAUGGGAUUAAAGAUUUAUCGGUGAUGGAUGGGGAUGCGUCUGAUUAGCUUGUUGGCGGGGUAACGGCCCACCAAGGCAACGAUCAGUAGGGGUUCUGAGAGGAAGGUCCCCCACAUUGGAACUGCGCCACGGUCCAAACUCCUACGGGAGGCAGCAGUGAGGAAUAUUGAUCAAUGGGCGAGAGCCUGAACCAGCCAAGUAGCGUGCAGGAAGACGGCCCUAUGGGUUGUAAACUGCUUUUAUAAGGGAAUAAAGUGGGUCACGUGUGACUUUUUGCAUGUACCUUAUGAAUAAGGACCGGCUAAUUCCGUG